RNAcentral lists this ribosomal RNA (254 nucleotides) under uncultured bacterium. RNAcentral describes it as "partial 16S ribosomal RNA". It matches the Rfam family "Bacterial small subunit ribosomal RNA", at positions 524 to 776 of the family's 1533-position model. The record is from RNAcentral.
UACAGAGGUGGCAAGCGUUGUUCGGAUUUAUUGGGCGUAAAGGGUUCGUAGGCGGCCAACUAAGUCAGACGUGAAAUCCCUCGGCUUAACCGGGGAACUGCGUCUGAUACUGGAUGGCUUGAGAUUGGGAGAGGGAUGCGGAAUUCCAGGUGUAGCGGUGAAAUGCGUAGAUAUCUGGAGGAACACCGGUGGCGAAGGCGGCAUCCUGGACCAACACUGACGCUGAGUGAGCGAAAGCCAGGGGAGCAAACGGG